RNAcentral lists this ribosomal RNA (200 nucleotides) under uncultured bacterium. Its description in RNAcentral is "partial 16S ribosomal RNA". It matches the Rfam family "Bacterial small subunit ribosomal RNA", at positions 29 to 258 of the family's 1533-position model. The record is from RNAcentral.
AACGAACGCUGGCGGCAGGCUUAACACAUGCAAGUCGAGCGCCCCGCAAGGGGAGCGGCAGACGGGUGAGUAACGCGUGGGAAUCUACCCUUGACUACGGAAUAACGCAGGGAAACUUGUGCUAAUACCGUAUGUGUCCUUCGGGAGAAAGAUUUAUCGGUCAAGGAUGAGCCCGCGUUGGAUUAGCUAGUUGGUGGGGU